GAAAUGCGAUAACUAGUGUGAAUUGCAGAAUUCCGUGAAUCAUCGAGUCUUUGAACGCACAUUGCGCCCCCUGGUAUUCCGGGGGGCAUGCCUGUCCGAGCGUCAUUGCUGCCCAUCAAGCACGUCUUGUGUGUUGGGUCGUCGUCCCCUCUCCGGGGGGGACGGGCCCCAAAGGCAGCGGCGGCACCGCGUCCGAUCCUCGAGCGUAUGGGGCUUUGUCACCCGCUCUGUAGGCCCGGCCGGCGCUUGCCGAACGCAAAUCAAUCUUUUUCCAGGUUGACCUCGGAUCAGGUAGGGAUACCCGCUGAACUUAAGC
Molecule: unclassified non-coding RNA, 316 nt
Filed under: plant metagenome
Description: partial contains 5.8S ribosomal RNA, internal transcribed spacer 2, and large subunit ribosomal RNA
Rfam family: 5.8S ribosomal RNA (bases 1-105)
Source: RNAcentral